CCAGUUGCUGGGUGCUGUUUGUUUUCCUUUUUUAACUCAAGGUUUCAGAGCUAGGGUUUACACUGCAAGGCAGACUGG
This is a microRNA precursor of Bison bison bison, 78 nucleotides long. NCBI's taxonomy places the organism in Eukaryota, Metazoa, Chordata, Mammalia, Artiodactyla, Bovidae. The record is from Ensembl.